Molecule: ribosomal RNA, 372 nt
Filed under: uncultured organism
Description: bacterial SSU rRNA
Rfam family: Bacterial small subunit ribosomal RNA
Source: RNAcentral
CAGAGGGGGCAAGCGUUAUUCGGAAUUAUUGGGCGUAAAGGGCGCGUAGGCGGCUUUGCAAGUGACGGGUGAAAUCCCUCGGCUUAACCGAGGAACUGCCUGUCAAACUGCAUGGCUUGAGACCGGGAGAGGUGAGUGGAAUUCCCAGUGUAGCGGUGAAAUGCGUAGAUAUUGGGAGGAACACCAGUGGCGAAGGCGGCUCACUGGACCGGUACUGACGCUGAUGCGCGAAAGCGUGGGUAGCAAACAGGAUUAGAUACCCUGGUAGUCCACGCCGUAAACGAUGAGUGCUUGGUGUAGCGGGUAUCGACCCCUGCUGUGCCGAAGUCAACACAUUAAGCACUCCGCCUGGGGAGUACGGUCGCAAGGCUG